Molecule: ribosomal RNA, 1590 nt
Filed under: Enterobacter cloacae
Lineage: Bacteria; Pseudomonadati; Pseudomonadota; Gammaproteobacteria; Enterobacterales; Enterobacteriaceae
Description: bacterial LSU rRNA
Rfam family: Bacterial large subunit ribosomal RNA
Source: RNAcentral
UGUAAGCCGUUGAAGGUGUGCUGUGAGGCAUGCUGGAGGUAUCAGAAGUGCGAAUGCUGACAUAAGUAACGAUAAAGCGGGUGAAAAGCCCGCUCGCCGGAAGACCAAGGGUUCCUGUCCAACGUUAAUCGGGGCAGGGUGAGUCGACCCCUAAGGCGAGGCCGAAAGGCGUAGUCGAUGGGAAACAGGUUAAUAUUCCUGUACUUGGUGUUACUGCGAAGGGGGGACGGAGAAGGCUAUGUCAGCCGGGCGACGGUUGUCCCGGUUUAAGCAUGUAGGCGGAGGUUCCAGGUAAAUCCGGUACCUUAUUAACGCUGAGGUGUGAUGACGAGGCACUACGGUGCUGAAGUGAUAAAUGCCCUGCUUCCAGGAAAAGCCUCUAAGCAUCAGGUAACACGAAAUCGUACCCCAAACCGACACAGGUGGUCAGGUAGAGAAUACCAAGGCGCUUGAGAGAACUCGGGUGAAGGAACUAGGCAAAAUGGUGCCGUAACUUCGGGAGAAGGCACGCUGAUGUGUAGGUGAAGUCCCUGCGGACGGAGCUGAAAUCAGUCGAAGAUACCAGCUGGCUGCAACUGUUUAUUAAAAACACAGCACUGUGCAAACACGAAAGUGGACGUAUACGGUGUGACGCCUGCCCGGUGCCGGAAGGUUAAUUGAUGGGGUUAGCGGCAACGCGAAGCUCUUGAUCGAAGCCCCGGUAAACGGCGGCCGUAACUAUAACGGUCCUAAGGUAGCGAAAUUCCUUGUCGGGUAAGUUCCGACCUGCACGAAUGGCGUAAUGAUGGCCAGGCUGUCUCCACCCGAGACUCAGUGAAAUUGAACUCGCUGUGAAGAUGCAGUGUACCCGCGGCAAGACGGAAAGACCCCGUGAACCUUUACUAUAGCUUGACACUGAACACUGGUCCUUGAUGUGUAGGAUAGGUGGGAGGCUUUGAAGCGUGGACGCCAGUCUGCGUGGAGCCAACCUUGAAAUACCACCCUUUAAUGGCUGGUGUUCUAACGUAGACCCGUAAUCCGGGUUGCGGACAGUGUCUGGUGGGUAGUUUGACUGGGGCGGUCUCCUCCCAAAGAGUAACGGAGGAGCACGAAGGUUGGCUAAUCCUGGUCGGACAUCAGGAGGUUAGUGCAAUGGCAUAAGCCAGCUUGACUGCGAGCGUGACGGCGCGAGCAGGUGCGAAAGCAGGUCAUAGUGAUCCGGUGGUUCUGAAUGGAAGGGCCAUCGCUCAACGGAUAAAAGGUACUCCGGGGAUAACAGGCUGAUACCGCCCAAGAGUUCAUAUCGACGGCGGUGUUUGGCACCUCGAUGUCGGCUCAUCACAUCCUGGGGCUGAAGUAGGUCCCAAGGGUAUGGCUGUUCGCCAUUUAAAGUGGUACGCGAGCUGGGUUUAGAACGUCGUGAGACAGUUCGGUCCCUAUCUGCCGUGGGCGCUGGAGAAUUGAGGGGGGCUGCUCCUAGUACGAGAGGACCGGAGUGGACGCAUCACUGGUGUUCGGGUUGUCAUGCCAAUGGCACUGCCCGGUAGCUAAAUGCGGAAGAGAUAAGUGCUGAAAGCAUCUAAGCACGAAACUUGCCCCGAGAUGAGUUCU